RNAcentral lists this ribosomal RNA (253 nucleotides) under uncultured bacterium. RNAcentral describes it as "partial 16S ribosomal RNA". It matches the Rfam family "Bacterial small subunit ribosomal RNA", at positions 524 to 776 of the family's 1533-position model. The record is from RNAcentral.
UACGGAGGGUGCGAGCGUUGUCCGGAAUCACUGGGCGUAAAGGGCGCGUAGGCGGCCCGGUAAGUAGGAGGUGAAAUCCUGCGGCUUAACCGCAGGGCUGCCUUCUAAACUGCCAGGCUUGAGCACAGUAGAGGCAGGUGGAAUUCCCGGUGUAGCGGUGGAAUGCGUAGAGAUCGGGAAGAACACCGAAAGCGAAGGCAGGGUCCUGGCUGGUACCUGACGCUCGUGGGCGAAAGCUAGGGGAGCGAACGGG